AUACGGAGGGUGCAAGCGUUAAUCGGAAUUACUGGGCGUAAAGCGCUCGUAGGCGGCUUGUUAAGUCGGAUGUGAAAACCCGGGGCUCAACCCCGCGGAAUGCAGGUGAAACUGGCAGACUUGAGACCGGUAGAGGCUAGCGGAAUUCCUGGUGUAGCGGUGGAAUGCGUAGAUAUCAGGAAGAACACCUGUGGCGAAGGCGGCUAGCUGGGCCGGUUCUGACACUGAACUGCGAAAGCGUGGGGAGCAAACAGGAUUAGAAACCCCGGUAGUCC
Molecule: ribosomal RNA, 275 nt
Filed under: uncultured bacterium
Lineage: Bacteria
Description: partial 16S ribosomal RNA
Rfam family: Bacterial small subunit ribosomal RNA
Source: RNAcentral